Molecule: ribosomal RNA, 253 nt
Filed under: uncultured bacterium
Lineage: Bacteria
Description: partial 16S ribosomal RNA
Rfam family: Bacterial small subunit ribosomal RNA
Source: RNAcentral
GACAGAGGUGCCAAGCGUUAUGCGGAAUCACUGGGCGUAAAGGGUGCGUAGGCGGGUCUUUAAGUCCGGGGUGAAAUCCUGGAGCUCAACUCCAGAACUGCCUUUGAUACUGAGGAUCUUGAGUUCGGGAGAGGUGAGUGGAACUGCGAGUGUAGAGGUGAAAUUCGUAGAUAUUCGCAAGAACACCAGUGGCGAAGGCGGCUCACUGGCCCGAUACUGACGCUGAGGCACGAAAGCGUGGGGAGCAAACAGG